This 254-nucleotide ribosomal RNA is filed under the name uncultured bacterium. Its description in RNAcentral is "partial 16S ribosomal RNA". It matches the Rfam family "Bacterial small subunit ribosomal RNA", at positions 524 to 776 of the family's 1533-position model. The record is from RNAcentral.
CACGUAGGGGGCGAGCGUUGUCCGGAUUUAUUGGGCGUAAAGAGCUCGUAGGCGGCUCGGUAAGUCGGGUGUGAAAUUUCGAGGCUCAACCUCGAAACGCCACCCGAUACUGCUGUGGCUAGAGUCCGGUAGGGGAGCGUGGAAUUCCUGGUGUAGCGGUGAAAUGCGCAGAUAUCAGGAAGAACACCAAUGGCGAAGGCAGCUCUCUGGGACGGUACUGACGCUGAGACGCGAAAGCGUGGGGAGCGAACAGG